AGCUCCAAUAGUGUAUAUUAAAGUUGUUGCGGUUAAAAAGCUCGUAGUUGGACUUUGGGGUCGAGCGUUACAGACCCUCUCGGUUCUGCCGGGGGGAAUCAGUCUGGAUGUUUCUUCCUCUUUCUCGGAACGUCAACAGGGGUUCACGGUUCGCCGUGUUCUCUUGGUUUCGCAGGAUUUACUUUGAAUAAAUUAGGGUGUUCAAAGCAGGCGCAACUCGCCUUGAAUACAUUAGCAUGGGAUAAUAGAAUAUGACCUUUGGUCUACUUAUUGGUUUCUAAGGCCAAGGUAAUGAUUAAUAGGGAUAGUUGAGGUCGCUCGUAUUCAAUGGUCAGAGGUGAAAUUCUAAGACCCAUUGAGGACGAACAAAUGCGAAGGCAUUCGACAAGGAUGUUUUCA
Molecule: ribosomal RNA, 399 nt
Filed under: uncultured eukaryote
Lineage: Eukaryota
Description: SSU rRNA
Rfam family: Eukaryotic small subunit ribosomal RNA
Source: RNAcentral